This 543-nucleotide ribosomal RNA is filed under the name Trichoderma asperellum. Its description in RNAcentral is "eukaryotic LSU rRNA". The stretch from base 153 to 306 matches the Rfam family "5.8S ribosomal RNA". Lineage: Eukaryota; Fungi; Ascomycota; Sordariomycetes; Hypocreales; Hypocreaceae. The record is from RNAcentral.
GUUACCAAACUGUUGCCUCGGCGGGGUCACGCCCCGGGUGCGUCGCAGCCCCGGAACCAGGCGCCCGCCGGAGGAACCAACCAAACUCUUUCUGUAGUCCCCUCGCGGACGUAUUUCUUUACAGCUCUGAGCAAAAAUUCAAAAUGAAUCAAAACUUUCAACAACGGAUCUCUUGGUUCUGGCAUCGAUGAAGAACGCAGCGAAAUGCGAUAAGUAAUGUGAAUUGCAGAAUUCAGUGAAUCAUCGAAUCUUUGAACGCACAUUGCGCCCGCCAGUAUUCUGGCGGGCAUGCCUGUCCGAGCGUCAUUUCAACCCUCGAACCCCUCCGGGGGAUCGGCGUUGGGGAUCGGGACCCCUCACACGGGCGCCGGCCCCUAAAUACAGUGGCGGUCUCGCCGCAGCCUCUCCUGCGCAGUAGUUUGCACAACUCGCACCGGGAGCGCGGCGCGUCCACGUCCGUAAAACACCCAACUUUCUGAAAUGUUGACCUCGGAUCAGGUAGGAAUACCCGCUGAACUUAAGCAUAUCAAUAAGCGGAGGAAA